RNAcentral lists this long non-coding RNA (1153 nucleotides) under Anser brachyrhynchus (Pink-footed goose). RNAcentral's name for it is "lncRNA (ENSABRG00000017575.1)". The record is from RNAcentral. Lineage: Eukaryota; Metazoa; Chordata; Aves; Anseriformes; Anatidae.
NNNNNNNNNNNNNNNNNNNNNNNNNNNNNNNNNNNNNNNNNNNNNNNNNNNCCAAUUCCUUUUCCCUGUCCCUCAUCCCCUGUCCCCUGUCCCUGCGCUGCUCACGUCUCCAUUCCUCAUCCCUUGUCCCUUGUCCCCUGCCCCUGUGACACCCACAUCCCGUCCCUCAUCCCUCAUCCCCUGUCCCUUGUCCCUGUGUCACUCACAUUCCCAUCCCCUGUCCCUCAUCCCUUGUCCCCUGCCCCUGCGCCAUCCUCAUCCCUCGUCCCCUGUCCCUCAUCCCUUGUCCCCAUCCUCUGUCCCCUGCCCCCUGUCUUCUGUCCCUUGUCCCUGCACCACCCAUUCCCCAUCCCUUGUCCCCUGUCUCCUGUCCCUGUGCUACCCAUGUCCCCUGUCCCUUGUCCCUCAUCCCUUGUCCCCGUCCCUUAUUCCUUGUCCCCCAUCCCUUGUCACCUGCCCCCGGUCCUCUGUCCCUUGUCCCUGCACUAUGUCCCUUGUCCCCUGCCCAUCUCCUGUCUCAGUGCUACCCGUAUCCUCUGUCCUCAUCCCUUGUCCCCUGUCCUCUGCCCCCUGUUCCCUUUCUCUUGCCCCUUGUCCCCUGCCCCUGCGCUACCCUACCCCCCGCCUCUUGUCCCCCAUCCCCUGUCCCCGUUCCCUCUCCCUUGUCCAAGCACUACCGCGUCCCCUGGCCCCUGUCCUUUGCCCCUGUGCUUGCCCUUGUCCCCUGUCCCCUGUCCCUUGUCCCCUGUCCCUUGUCCCCAGCCCCUGCGCUGUCCUUGGUCCCAGUCCUGCCUCUGCUCCUGUCCCUGCAUCAACCUCUGCAUUGCUCUGUCCCUGGCCCCGUCCCCGUCCCCGUCCCUUUCCCUGUCCCCCCGGCCCCGCUGCGCCCCUCGCUGCCCCUGCCUGGACCCGACCCGGUGGCCACGAUCGUGUCCCUGUCCCUGUCCCUAUCCCCGUCCUUGUCCCCAUCCUGUCCCCAUCCCUGUCCCCGCUCCGGUCCCUACCCCUGUCCACAUCCAUCCCUGUCCCCGUCCCUGCCCGCAUCCCUCCCGGUCCCUGCCCGCGUCUCCGUCCCGGUCCCCGUGUCCCCGUCCCCGUGUCCCCGUCCCCGUGCCCCCCUCCCCGGCCCCGCCGCCUGCCCCGGCCCCUCUCA